GACGGAGGGUGCAAGCGUUGUUCGGAUUGACUGGGCGUAAAGGGCGUGUAGGCGGUUGGUCAAGUCUGAUGUGAAAGCCCGGGGCUCAGCUCCGGAAGGGCAUCGGAAACUAGCCAGCUGGAGCGCGAUAGAGGAGGGCGGAAUUCCUGGUGUAGCGGUGAAAUGCGUAGAUAUCAGGAGGAACACCGGCGGCGAAGGCGGCCCUCUGGAUCGUUGCUGACGCUGAGACGCGAAAGCGUGGGGAGCAAACAGG
This 253-nucleotide ribosomal RNA is filed under the name uncultured bacterium. Its description in RNAcentral is "partial 16S ribosomal RNA". It matches the Rfam family "Bacterial small subunit ribosomal RNA", at positions 524 to 776 of the family's 1533-position model. The record is from RNAcentral.